UUGGGUGGGCACUCUAAGGAAACUGCCGGUGGUAAGCCGGAGGAAGGUGGGGAUGACGUCAAGUCCUCAUGGCCCUUACGGGUAGGGCUACACACGUGCUACAAUGGCAGUGACAAUGGGAUAAUCCCAAAAAGC
RNAcentral lists this ribosomal RNA (135 nucleotides) under uncultured Hyphomonas sp. RNAcentral's name for it is "partial 16S ribosomal RNA". It matches the Rfam family "Bacterial small subunit ribosomal RNA", at positions 1127 to 1283 of the family's 1533-position model. Lineage: Bacteria; Pseudomonadati; Pseudomonadota; Alphaproteobacteria; Hyphomonadales; Hyphomonadaceae. The record is from RNAcentral.